This 50-nucleotide ribosomal RNA is filed under the name Penicillium sp. PCL-PL. RNAcentral describes it as "partial 28S ribosomal RNA". Lineage: Eukaryota; Fungi; Ascomycota; Eurotiomycetes; Eurotiales; Aspergillaceae. The record is from RNAcentral.
UUAUUUCUCAGGUUGACCUCGGAUCAGGUAGGGAUACCCGCUGAACUUAA